GCUGAGGUCUAUCCCGACGGGUCUUUAACUGUAGGGCCAUGUCGUUGGAAAUGCCUCAAAGAGUAAUGCUGCAGUUUCGCUUUACCCACAUGUUCACUGCCAUGAGCUUUGUGAGAUAUCACUGCAGAACAUGU
Small nucleolar RNA from Pungitius pungitius (ninespine stickleback), 134 nucleotides. NCBI's taxonomy places the organism in Eukaryota, Metazoa, Chordata, Actinopteri, Perciformes, Gasterosteidae. The record is from RefSeq and is a predicted model, not a curated record.